Molecule: ribosomal RNA, 379 nt
Filed under: uncultured cyanobacterium
Lineage: Bacteria; Bacillati; Cyanobacteriota
Description: bacterial SSU rRNA
Rfam family: Bacterial small subunit ribosomal RNA
Source: RNAcentral
CGAAAGCCUGACGGAGCAAUACCGCGUGAGGGAUGACAGCCUGUGGGUUGUAAACCUCUUUUCUCAAGGAAGAAGUUCUGACGGUACUUGAGGAAUAAGCAUCGGCUAACUCUGUGCCAGCAGCCGCGGUAAUACAGAGGAUGCAAGUGUUAUCCGGAAUCACUGGGCGUAAAGCGUCUGUAGGUGGUCUAAUAAGUCAACUGUUAAAUCUUGAGGCUCAACUUCAAAAUCGCAGUCGAAACUAUUAGACUAGAGUAUAGUAGAGGUAAAGGGAAUUUCCAGUGGAGCGGUGAAAUGCGUAGAUAUUGGAAAGAACACCGAUGGCGAAAGCACUUUACUGGGCUAUUACUAACACUCAGAGACGAAAGCUAGGGUAGCA